AUGUACCACUCGUACACUCCGGUUCCUGUGCGCCGCCCGCACCCGCCUGACGACUGCUCGCAGUUCUUGCCGGUGGUGAGCA
This 82-nucleotide small RNA is filed under the name Xanthomonas vasicola. RNAcentral describes it as "sX9 sRNA". It matches the Rfam family "Xanthomonas sRNA sX9". Lineage: Bacteria; Pseudomonadati; Pseudomonadota; Gammaproteobacteria; Lysobacterales; Lysobacteraceae. The record is from RNAcentral.